UUAUCAGUGUCACGUGACUGAGAUUUUGGCAGGGGGUUUUCACGCGCGCUCUUUUCACUUUCCUUCAUACAUUCUUCAUUUUUUAGAAGCCCAACAUUCCCAAUUCCAUUAUUAUACUUCGCAAAUGGAAAUAACACCAUGUACAUAUUCUCAUAAUUUCACACUGUCAUAUUUACCACGUUCGUAACAAUGGAAUAUUACAGUGGCGGGUCCGAACCCAGGACAUUCUAUUUUUUCUAUUGCAACCUUUUCGGAAAAUUACCACAGCGGGUCCGAACCCACGAAGUUCAAUUUGUGUAUUAGAGGCCAAACCUUCCGUAAUAUUUUGCGCACGGGUAUUACAUUUCACCACCUCCUCUAGAGAAAUAAUUUUCCCUGUCGUCGAGUUUCCCGUUCCGGCAGCACGCGAGUCUCGCGGGCACGUUACCUGGUGUUUUCAUUAAUCAAGAACGAAAGUUAGAGGUUCGAAGGCGAUCAGAUAGCGCACUAGUUCUAACCAUAAACAAUGCCAGCUAGCAAUCUGCCGAAGUUCCUUCGAUGACUCGGCAGGCAGCUUCCGGGAAACCAAAGCUUUUGGGUUCCGGGGGAAGUAUGGUUGCAAAGCAGAAACUUAAAGGAAUUGACGGAAGGGCACCACCAGAAGUGGAGCCUGCGGCUUAAUUUGACUCAACACGGGAAACCUCACCAGGCCAGGACACCGGAAAGAUUGACAGAUUGAGAGCUCUUUCUGGAUUCGGUGGGUGGUGGUGCAUGGCCGUUCUUAGUUGGUGGAGCGAUUUGUCUGGUUAAUUCCGAUAACGAACGAGACUCUGGUCUGCUAACUAGUCGCUUCCGGUAUCCCUUCGUGCUACCGGCGACAAAUGAUCUUCUUAGAGGGACAGGCGGCUUCUAGCCGCACGAGAUUGAGCAAUAACAGGUUUGUGAUGCCCUUAGAUGUUCUGGGCCGCACGCACGAUACACUGAAGUAAUCAGCGUGUCCUCCUAGCCCGGAAUGGGCCGGGUAACCUGUUGAACCUCCUUCAUGCUAGGGAUUGGGGCUUACAAUUGUUCCCCAUGAACAAGGAAUUCCCAGUAAGUGCGAGUCAUAAGCUCGCGUUGAUUAAGUCCCUGCCCUUUGUACACACCGCCCGUCGCUACUACCGAUUGAACGAUUUAGUGAGGUCUUCGGACCGGUGCGCGACGGCUCGCUCGUCGAGUCGUUGAUGUUGCUAGAAAGAUGACCAAACUUGAUGAUUUAGAGGAAGUAAAUGUCGUAACAAGGUUUCCGUAGGUGAACCUGCGGAAG
This 1285-nucleotide ribosomal RNA is filed under the name Medauroidea extradentata. Its description in RNAcentral is "SSU rRNA". It matches the Rfam family "Eukaryotic small subunit ribosomal RNA", at positions 638 to 1823 of the family's 1831-position model. Lineage: Eukaryota; Metazoa; Arthropoda; Insecta; Phasmatodea; Phasmatidae. The record is from RNAcentral.